Molecule: long non-coding RNA, 840 nt
Organism: Lotus japonicus
Lineage: Eukaryota; Viridiplantae; Streptophyta; Magnoliopsida; Fabales; Fabaceae
Exons: 3
Source: RefSeq, a predicted model, not a curated record
UAAACAUUAAAAAAACAAGCCUCGAAAACCAAAAAUCAUACUGAUAUUUCUUUGAAGAAUUAGAAGAUUCAGCGGGAAGAAUAUCGUGUCUAAAAUACGUUGGAAUCAGUAGAAAAAAUCGGAAUCGCGAAAUAAUCAUUUUCUCACUUUUUUAAUUUCCUAUAUAUACUUUGAAAAAUGAAAAACAAAAAAACAAAAAAAUAUCACAACACACACACAGCCGAGGAUUCAAGGGGAGGAGGAGGAGAAAAGUGAUUUUGCAAAUUCUUGACCGAUCGUCGUUCUGUUCGUUGCUACGCGUAGGCCUCGAGGUUCGAAAUUUCCAUGCCCAACUUCUACUCACGAAGGCGGUGGAGAGCCUUCCGCUGAAGCUUAGCUGUUCGAGUUGGAGACCAUGACCGUGGGCGGUCGAAUAAAGGUGGAUGAAGCAGUUGCUUCUCCCUUUUUGGAGGACUAUGUCUGAGUUUCUUUUCCUUCUGAAAACUCUGUUGUUUAAACCUUAUAUUCGCCACUUGUCUAAGUGAGCGUACUUAUUUUGGAAACUUGCUUAUGAUGAUGUAAGACACUAUUAUUAUAUGUCGGGAACGGGUUGUUUAAUUAAGACUAAGUUAUGUAUUAAACUGUGUUUAGUUGUUUUGAAAAGGAAAAAAAAAUUAUCGUGUUUUCUUAGGAUUACGAAGUAGUCCUUAGACUUUGUUAGGUUACUAAUGUGACUCCUCAGUUGAGAAACUGGGGCGUUACAGAUUAGGUGUAUAUGAAUAACUAUUGAUAGCAUGUUGUUUUCAUAGAAUUGAGAUUGUUGGACUUGUGUUGGUCAUGUGUGCUGAGGCCGAGCAUUAU